RNAcentral lists this long non-coding RNA (216 nucleotides) under Homo sapiens (human). Its description in RNAcentral is "HSALNT0263096". The record is from RNAcentral. Lineage: Eukaryota; Metazoa; Chordata; Mammalia; Primates; Hominidae.
AUGCCCCUCACUCAAGACCAGGGAGAAGCCCACCUAGCCCCUCCUGCAACCACACAGACCCCAGUGGGAGCCCCAAGGCUGCUACUCUGCACAGGAUGGAGGGCAGGGGUAAAGGCCAUUAGGCGGUGGCAGUAGGCCGUGCCCCUCACCAGAGGCUGAGGUCUGACCCCUUGACCAGCCCAGCUUCAGGGCAUGUGUCCUUUCAUGAGCUGUGAC